Molecule: ribosomal RNA, 492 nt
Filed under: uncultured bacterium
Lineage: Bacteria
Description: partial 16S ribosomal RNA
Rfam family: Bacterial small subunit ribosomal RNA
Source: RNAcentral
AUUGAACGCUGGCGGUAGGCCUAACACAUGCAAGUCGAACGGCAGCACAGUAAGAGCUUGCUCUUACGGGUGGCGAGUGGCGGACGGGUGAGGAAUACAUCGGAGUCUGCUUGUUCGUGGGUGAGAACGCAGGGAAUCUUACGCUAAUAGCGCAGACGACCUACGUGUGAAAGCAGCGGAUCUUCGGACCUUGGGCGAUUGAAUGACCCGAUGUCGGAUUAGCUAGUUGGCGGGGUAAAGGCCCACCAAGGCGACGAUCCGUAGCUGGUCUGAGAGGAUGAUCAGCCACACUGGAACUGAGACACGGUCCAGACUCCUACGGGAGGCAGCAGUGGGGAAUAUUGGACAAUGGGCGAAAGCCUGAUCCAGCCAUACCGCGUGGGUGAAGAAGGCCUUCGGGUUGUAAAGCCCUUUUGUUGGGAAAGAAAAGCAGCAGGUUAAUACCCCGCUGUUCUGACGGUACCAACAGAAUAAGCACCGGCUAACUUCGUG